UACGAAGGGGGCUAGCGUUGUUCGGAAUCACUGGGCGUAAAGGGCGCGUAGGCGGCCGAUCAAGUCGGGGGUGAAAGCCUGUGGCUCAACCACAGAAUUGCCUUCGAUACUGUUUGGCUUGAGACCGGAAGAGGUUAGUGGAACUGCGAGUGUAGAGGUGAAAUGCGCAGAUAUCAGGAGGAACACCAAUGGCGAAGGCAGCUCGCUGGGACGGUACUGACGCUGAGACGCGAAAGCGUGGGGAGCAAACAGG
This 253-nucleotide ribosomal RNA is filed under the name uncultured bacterium. RNAcentral describes it as "partial 16S ribosomal RNA". It matches the Rfam family "Bacterial small subunit ribosomal RNA", at positions 524 to 776 of the family's 1533-position model. The record is from RNAcentral.